This 271-nucleotide ribosomal RNA is filed under the name uncultured archaeon. RNAcentral describes it as "partial 16S ribosomal RNA". It matches the Rfam family "Archaeal small subunit ribosomal RNA", at positions 477 to 747 of the family's 1478-position model. The record is from RNAcentral.
CAGCGCCACGAGUGGCAACCGCGAUUAUUGGGCCUAAAGCGUCCGUAGCCGGUUUGAUAAAUCUUUUGUGAAAUUGUCCAGCUUAGCUGGUCACCGUGCAAGAGACACUGUCGAACUUGAGACCGGGAGGAGUCAGAAGUAUUCAAGAGGGAGCGGUAAAAUGUUAUAAUCUCUGGAGGACCAACUGUGGCGAAGGCGUCUGACCAGAACGGAUCUGAAGGUGAGGGACGAAAGCUAGGGGAGCGAACCGGAUUAGAUACCCGAGUAGUCC